AUCGAACGCUGGCGGCAUGCUUUACACAUGCAAGUCGAACGGCAGCGCGGGCUUCGGCCUGGCGGCUAGUGGCGCACGGGUGAGUAAUACACCGGAACGUCCCCCCCUGUGCGUGAUAGCACCUCGAAAGCCGGAUUAAUACCGCAUACGACCUGCGCCUGCAAGCGGGGGAUCUUCGGACCUCGCGCUAUUGGGGCGACCGAUGCCGGGUUAGCUAGCUGGUGGGGUAAAGGCCUACCAAGCCGACCAUCUGUAGCUGGCCUGAGAGAGCGACUGGCCGCACGGGGACUGAGACACGGACCAGAGUCCUGCGGGAGGCAGCAGUGGGCAAUUGUGGGCAAUGGGCGGGAGCCUUGUCCAGCAGUGCGACGUGUGUGAUAAAGGCCUUCCGGUUGGAAAGCACGUUUGGCGGGAGCGAAAAGGACUGUCCCAAUACCAAGGUUCGGUGACGGUACCCGCAGAAUAAGCACCGGCUAACUACGUG
This 484-nucleotide ribosomal RNA is filed under the name uncultured bacterium. RNAcentral's name for it is "partial 16S ribosomal RNA". It matches the Rfam family "Bacterial small subunit ribosomal RNA", at positions 28 to 507 of the family's 1533-position model. The record is from RNAcentral.